RNAcentral lists this ribosomal RNA (407 nucleotides) under Verrucomicrobiota bacterium. RNAcentral describes it as "Verrucomicrobia bacterium partial 16S ribosomal RNA". It matches the Rfam family "Bacterial small subunit ribosomal RNA", at positions 355 to 776 of the family's 1533-position model. Lineage: Bacteria; Pseudomonadati; Verrucomicrobiota. The record is from RNAcentral.
UGGGGCAUAUUGGACAAUGGAGGGAACUCUGAUCCAGCAAUUCUGUGUGUGUGAAGAAGGUUUUAGGACUGUAAAACACUUUUAGUAGGGAAGAAAAAAAUGACGGUACCUACAGAAGAAGCAACGGCUAAAUACGUGCCAGCAGCCGCGGUAAUACGUAUGUUGCGAGCGUUAUCCGGAAUUAUUGGGCUUAAAGGGCAUCUAGGCGGUAAGACAAGUUGAAGGUGAAAACCUGUGGCUCAACCAUAGGCUUGCCUACAAAACUGUUGAACUAGAGUACUGGAAAGGUGGGUGGAACUACACGAGUAGAGGUGAAAUUCGUAGAUAUGUGUAGGAAUGCCGAUGAUGAAGAUAACACACUGGACAGAAACUGACGCUGAAGUGCGAAAGCUAGGGGAGCAAACAGG